This 358-nucleotide ribosomal RNA is filed under the name uncultured Symbiodinium. RNAcentral's name for it is "partial Eukaryotic large subunit ribosomal RNA". It matches the Rfam family "Eukaryotic large subunit ribosomal RNA", at positions 2959 to 3377 of the family's 3401-position model. Lineage: Eukaryota; Dinophyceae; Suessiales; Symbiodiniaceae. The record is from RNAcentral.
GGGUUUAGCCCGUCGUGAGACAGGUUAGUUUUAUCCUACUGAUGAGCGGGUGCUGUGGCAGUAAUUGAGGUUAGUACGAGAGGAACCCCUGAUUCACGUAAUUGGUGUUGGGCUUGGCUGAGCAGGCAGUGGCCCGAAGCUAUACGUGUGGGUUUAGGGCUGAACGCCUCUAAGUCCGAAACCCUGCUGGAGGCGGCGUCAAGUUUGGGAGUGUAGUGAGAGUAGAGUGGGGUGGCGGUGCAUUCGUUGUUAGGGUGUGCUGUAGAGAGUAGUUCCUGGUGAGGUAUCUUUGGUAGACGACUGGAGUGCAGUGUGAGCUGUAAGCAUGAGAGUGGUGUGAGCUACGAUCUGCUGAGGC